CUUAGAGCUGGAGGGGGAGGAGGAAGGCCGCCUUGCUUCCCGCGUCUCUCUCCAGAAGAGCCGCCUCUGGGUUUAUGCCGCGUUUCCUCCUGCGCCUUUAAAGCAGGUGCGGCCCAGGCAGAGGUCCCACAGUUCCAUAGAAAGUUGAGACCUCAUUAAGAAAAGUUCUAGGACUCAGUAUGUCAAGGUAUGGUGUAGCUCUGGCGUUUCCCAUUUGGUUAAUGCUGGUAUGUCAGUCUGGAUGCUGCCUCGUGGACUAUAUAACUGCUGCAAGUGGUUUUAGCCAUGUGCAUGAUUACAUCAACAAAUCAAACUGGGAUCAAGACUAUUGUGAAAGAAAAAGGAAAUUAUCUCAUUUUGGUGGCUGGAGACUUUCCACAGAAAAAUUCACAGCCACACUUCCCAUUGAUCAUAUUCAAGAGAAUUAUGUUCGUGAAGUGCGAGACGUCAUUUUUUCAUUUGUCUACCCUACACCAUUUAAAUCCAGAGUUCUGCUUGUAGCUGUCUCAAAGGAAGUCUUGGAAGAUAUUUUGGACCUGGAUGUGUCCAUCUCAGACUCGGAGGAUUUUAUACAGCUUGUCACUGGUGCAAAAAUUGCCUUGGGAUCUCUGCCUCUAGCCCACAGAUAUGGUGGCCAUCAGUUUGGUAGCUGGGCAGGUCAGCUGGGUGAUGGAAGAGCCCAUUUGAUUGGUGUUUAUACAAACAGGUUUGGUGACAGUUGGGAACUGCAGCUGAAAGGUUCAGGAAGGACUCCGUACUCCAGGAAUGGGGACGGCAGAGCUGUGCUCCACUCUUCUGUUCGAGAAUUCUUAGGAAGUGAGGCUAUGCAUUAUCUUGGCAUUCCUACAAGCAGAGCAGCUAGUUUAGUUGUGAGUGACGACGACGUGUGGAGGGAUCGGUUCUACAAUGGGAAUGUUAAAAAAGAAAGAGGUGCUAUAGUUCUGCGUGUUGCCAAAUCAUGGUUUCGAAUAGGAUCAUUAGAAAUUUUAGCUCAUUCUGGAGAACUGGAUUUGUUAAGGAUGCUGUUAGACCAUAUCAUAGAUGAGCACUUUCCAUCAAUAGACAUGAAUGAUUCAAACAGAUACCUGGCCUUCUUCUCUAGAGUAGUGUCUGAGACUGCAGGUCUGAUUGCCUUGUGGAUGUCAGUAGGCUUUGCUCAUGGUGUGUGCAAUACAGAUAAUUUCAGCCUGCUAGCCAUAACUAUAGAUUAUGGUCCAUUUGGUUUUAUGGACUCUUAUGACCCAGAUUUUGUCCCAAACACAUCUGAUGAUGAAAGACGGUAUAAAAUAGGAAACCAGGCAAACGUCGGACUGUUUAAUCUGAACAAGCUGUUACAGGCUCUAAACCCUUUAUUGGCUCCCAGACAAAAGCAGCUGGCUUCUCAGAUACUUGGGGAAUACCCAGAACAGUAUUAUAAACGCUUCACAGAACUAUUCAAAGCAAAAUUAGGUCUCCUAGGCGACAAUGAGGAUGAUAACUAUUUGAUUGCAUUCCUUCUAAAACUCAUGGAAGAUACACAAGCGGAUUUUACAAUGACUUUUUGGGAGCUCAGUGAGAUUUCAGAAGACCAGCUGAAGAGCACCAGCAUUCCUAAGGAAUUUUGGGCUCUGCAAGAUGUGGCUAAACACAAGCUCUUUUCAAGCUGGGUUAUGUUGUACCUCUUAAGGUUAAAAAGGAACUCGGGCGAUUCUGAUUCCAAGCGAAGCAAAAGAAUGAUGAGUGAGUAUAAAUCCUAGGUACGUGCUCAGAAACUGGAUGGCCGAGUCAGCUGCACAAAAGGCAGAAAGGAAUGACUUUUCUGAGGUCCACCUCUUGCAGCAGGUUUUGCAACACCCCUUUCAGAGGCAGGCAAUGGCUGAGAGAGCUGGUUAUGCACAACGCCCCCCUGCUUGGGCUAAAGACAUUAAAGUCAGUUGUUCAUCUUGAUGAAAAGAAACUGAGAUCAAGAUUAAAUGAAGGGAUAUAGCCUUCAAUUAAUACCAAACGACAAUAAAAGGACACAUUUAGAAUUUUAGUCAA
This is an RNA transcript of Lacerta agilis (Sand lizard), 2019 nucleotides long. It is a transcript of the gene named protein adenylyltransferase SelO-like, with no coding region annotated. NCBI's taxonomy places the organism in Eukaryota, Metazoa, Chordata, Lepidosauria, Squamata, Lacertidae. The transcript is spliced from 20 exons. The record is from RefSeq and is a predicted model, not a curated record.